Molecule: non-coding RNA, 159 nt
Organism: Vicia faba (fava bean)
Lineage: Eukaryota; Viridiplantae; Streptophyta; Magnoliopsida; Fabales; Fabaceae
Source: the annotation of a GenBank genome assembly
AAAUUCUUCAUUUCAUUUUCUCACUCUUCUCUCUCUCUCUCUCUCUCUCCAAACCCUAGAAAACCUUCUCCAUUGUUUCCAUGGUUGCCAAAUCGUUCGAGAUUAACGAUUCUGUUGCAAACGACGGGGGUGUUGGUGUCGUUUUGCAGAGUGAGAUGA